Molecule: ribosomal RNA, 333 nt
Filed under: Spongiibacter sp.
Lineage: Bacteria; Pseudomonadati; Pseudomonadota; Gammaproteobacteria; Cellvibrionales; Spongiibacteraceae
Description: bacterial SSU rRNA
Rfam family: Bacterial small subunit ribosomal RNA
Source: RNAcentral
AACUGAAGAGUUUGAUCAUGGCUCAGAUUGAACGCUGGCGGCAGGCCUAACACAUGCAAGUCGAACGCGAAAAUUCCUUCGGGAAUGAGUAGAGUGGCGGACGGGUGAGUAACGCGUGGGAAUCUACCUGGUAGCGGGGGAUAACUCGGGGAAACUCGAGCUAAUACCGCAUACGCCCUACGGGGGAAAGGAGGGGAUCUUCGGACCUUUCACUAUCAGAUGAGCCCGCGUUAGAUUAGCUUGUUGGUGAGGUAAUGGCUCACCAAGGCGACGAUCUAUAGCUGGUCUGAGAGGAUGAUCAGCCACACUGGGACUGAGACACGGCCCAGACUC